RNAcentral lists this long non-coding RNA (532 nucleotides) under Helianthus annuus (common sunflower). Lineage: Eukaryota; Viridiplantae; Streptophyta; Magnoliopsida; Asterales; Asteraceae. The record is from RNAcentral.
CACACUAAAAUACACAUACACCCAAAAGUCUAAUCUAAGUUCAAGAGUUCAAGUUCGAAGUUCAGUGCUUUCAAAAUCCAUCUCUUUGCUUGAAUCAAGAUAAGAUUAUAUGUAAAUCUUCACCCAUGUGGGUUCGCAUAAGUUUUGAGGACGACCCAAUUUGUGGAUUCUCUUUUGCUUGCUAAACUAAGGUACGGAUUCCCAUUUCUGACAUCAUAGUAUUUUUAUCCUAUCCGUCACUUUGCAGUGCGGAUUUUUGUGUGUCCCUGUUAGCCGUUUGAUAUGUGAUGCGAACCAGUCUGGUAUUGUUUGUAUGAUUAUUAGAGUAAUGUAGCAUGCCAUACCUUAGACUUGUACUCAUGGUCGCAUGUUCCUAUUAGUAUUAUUUUCAGUUGAUUGUAAACUAUUUACAUGGCCUUAGUUUUUGUACUCUGUCACCCGAGCGUCUGGCUUGCCGUUUGGGCGUCAACGGCAUGGCACUUAUCGUGACAGUGCGUAAUAAAAGUUCACGGCGUCUCUAGUUUGUGCUCGU